This 213-nucleotide ribosomal RNA is filed under the name uncultured bacterium. RNAcentral's name for it is "partial 16S ribosomal RNA". It matches the Rfam family "Bacterial small subunit ribosomal RNA", at positions 524 to 735 of the family's 1533-position model. The record is from RNAcentral.
CACGUAGGGUGCAAGCGUUGUCCGGAAUUAUUGGGCGUAAAGAGCUCGUAGGCGGCCUGUCACGUCGACUGUGAAAACCUAGGGCUCAACCCUGGGCCUGCAGUCGAUACGGGCAGGCUUGAGUGUGGUAGGGGAGACUGGAAUUCCUGGUGUAGCGGUGAAAUGCGCAGAUAUCAGGAGGAACACCGGAUGGCGAAGGCAGGUCUCUGGGCC